RNAcentral lists this transfer RNA (68 nucleotides) under Marmota monax (woodchuck). RNAcentral's name for it is "tRNA.Ala". Lineage: Eukaryota; Metazoa; Chordata; Mammalia; Rodentia; Sciuridae. The record is from RNAcentral.
GGAUUGUGGCUCAGCGGAAGAGCACUUGCCUAGCACAUGUGAGGCCCUGGGUUCUAUUCUCAGCACCA